This 207-nucleotide long non-coding RNA is filed under the name Mytilus galloprovincialis (Mediterranean mussel). The record is from RNAcentral. Lineage: Eukaryota; Metazoa; Mollusca; Bivalvia; Mytilida; Mytilidae.
GUAGCCUUCGUGAUCCAUCGUGUAGGCUUCGGCUGAGAUAUGAAGCUUAAAUACCCGUCUUCGGUUAACCUUCGUAUGUCCAUCUUUUGCUAUCGUAUAUAAUUUCGGCACCAUCGUAUAGACUUCGUUAUUCAUCGUACUUGCUUUGGUCACUUUUUGGUAUUUUAACGAGAUUGGGACCAACUUCGUACGAACUUACAAUUUUCG